AAUAAUAAAAGAAAAAUAUAGAGUGAAAAGAAGAAAAGAGAAAGAAAGUAGUAGUAAAAGGAGACCACGAGCAAGAGGAGCGAGGAUAGGAAUACACAAGCUGGCUCGUCUUAAAGUGCCAUAAUUAGGUCAAAGGUCAGACUUGUUGUGGAGAGGCCAAGGAAGUCAGUCAGCCAUUCAGUGAUUCCGCCAUUGUCAGGCGGUCUCCAAUUUGUCUGCCAUUAGUCAUCCAGCCAGCAAGCAGGUAUCGCCAGUCAGUCUGUCAGUCUACGAAUCAACCAGCCAGUUAGCUUAGUAAACUCUAGUAUUAAGAGUAUGAGAGAAAAAUAAGAAGCAAGCACCUAACUGUUGGAUUGAGAAAUAGCACGAAAACGAAUACCGAAUUGAUCCCUUUUUUGGCCGCUCAUUCCUGUUUGCUUUAAUAGGAGCAGUGCUGAGCGAGCUUAUUUUUUCUUUUUUUCCUGAGCUGUUUACUGUAAAAAAAAAAAAAUAUCUUGAAAUCCACUAUUAAGAGGAACGAAACCAGCCAGCCAGCCAGCCAGCCAGUCAUCCAUUCAUUAGAUCAGCCAGUCACUUAGCAGGUCGGCCAGUCAGGGAGUCAGUCAGCAGUGGUCCCCAACAUUUAGCUUUUAGGGUCAGGAGGGUGAGCAGUGAGAUGUAUGAAUGAACACUGCACAGGGACGCUCAUCUCCCUGCCUACACGUGGCUCUCUAGUGUCCCGAGGCGUGUGGGAAUUGUGGAGGAGGAGGAGGAACAAUAAAGAAGAAAGGGGGAAGGGAGAAAAUAUGUAAAAUUGAGAAGAGAACUCGCAUUAUCUAUUCACAUGGUGAUUGCAGUCUUUCUCUUUAUCCUUCCUACAAUUGCCUGUUCAGUCCUUUUUUUAUUCUCCUACCCACCUUUCUUCACCAUGCAGCCUGUGGCGGGGAGCCUCGUGGUGUGGCUGACGGGCCUCGUGCACGCUGUUGGGGGUUGUGUUGGGGAGUGGCGACUGACAUCCACUGCGAGCUCAAUUGUUGGCUGGGGCGGCGGUGCGCGGCGUGGCGAGGUGAGGCGAGGUGAGGCGAUACCUGCCGAACAUACAUACCAGGUGUUGUGUGUGUGUGUGUGUGUGUGUGUGUGUGUGUGUGUGUGUGUGAGAGAGAGAGAGAGAGAGAGAGAGAGAGAGAGAGAGAGAGAGAGAGAACAGACGUAUACUUAUUUCCAUUAUUUCUGUUCUCUGUCCUCCCUCCUUUCCUCCCCUCCGCGUUUCCGUGUUUUUAUUGUGUUCCCUCGUGCCUGGAAGUUGACGCGUUGCCGUUGCCGUUUCUUUUUUUAUCAUUAUUUUUUUUCUCAUUCUUUCCGAGUCGUUUCCCUCCCCUUUUAGCGUUUGUAAUGGAGUAGUUCAAGCGAGAAAUUUCUAUAUAUAUUUAGAUUAUAAAGAUAUAUGAAAGUACUACUGUCUCAUGACUGCGAAAGGCUGUAUGGAACACUGAAGCAUUUCUGCAGUGUGUUACUGGUGCGUUGUGUGUAUAAAUAAACAUGUGAAGCAAAAUGUGAUAAAUAAAAUGUAAAGCAAA
Eriocheir sinensis (Chinese mitten crab) is the source of this 1556-nucleotide long non-coding RNA. RefSeq lists it as uncharacterized. The record is from RefSeq and is a predicted model, not a curated record. Lineage: Eukaryota; Metazoa; Arthropoda; Malacostraca; Decapoda; Varunidae. The transcript has 2 exons.